AUUGAACGCUGGCGGCAUGCCUUACACAUGCAAGUCGAACGGUAACAGGUCUUCGGAUGCUGACGAGUGGCGAACGGGUGAGUAAUACAUCGGAACGUGCCUAGUAGUGGGGGAUAACUACUCGAAAGAGUGGCUAAUACCGCAUGAGAUCUACGGAUGAAAGCAGGGGAUCGCAAGACCUUGUGCUACUAGAGCGGCCGAUGGCAGAUUAGGUAGUUGGUGGGAUAAAAGCUUACCAAGCCGACGAUCUGUAGCUGGUCUGAGAGGACGAUUAGCCACACUGGGAAGGGGACACGGCCCAGACUCCUACGGGAGGCAGCAGUGGGGAAUUUUGGACAAUGGGCGCAAGCCUGAUCCAGCAAUGCCGCGUGCAGGAUGAAGGCCUUCGGGUUGUAAACUGCUUUUGUACGGAACGAAAAGCCCCGGGUUAAUACCCUGGGGUCAUGACGGUACCGUAAGAAUAAGCACCGGCUAACUACGUGCCAGCCGCCGCCGUAA
This 498-nucleotide ribosomal RNA is filed under the name uncultured bacterium. RNAcentral's name for it is "partial 16S ribosomal RNA". It matches the Rfam family "Bacterial small subunit ribosomal RNA", at positions 30 to 523 of the family's 1533-position model. The record is from RNAcentral.